GAAGAUAGAUCAGGAGUUCCGCCGCCGCAAGCCUCUGUAGCCACCAAAAACCUCUCGGGAGCCCGUUCCGGCACCCUGCCGGAGGGGGAACCCAUCACCGGUGGCCAUCUUCAUCAUCCCGGCGCUCUCCAUGACGAGGAGGGAGUAGUUCACCCUCGGGGCUGAGGGUAUGUACCAGUAGCUAUGUGUUUGAUCUCUCUCUCUCGUGUUCUCUCUAUGGCACGAUCUUGAUGUAUCGCGAGCUUUGCUAUUAUAGUUGGAUCUUAUGAUGUUUCUCCCCCUCUACUCUCUUGUGAUGAAUUGAGUUUCCC
This 311-nucleotide ribosomal RNA is filed under the name Triticum aestivum (bread wheat). Its description in RNAcentral is "partial small subunit ribosomal RNA". The record is from RNAcentral. Lineage: Eukaryota; Viridiplantae; Streptophyta; Magnoliopsida; Poales; Poaceae.